AUACCUUUCUCGGCCUUUUGGCUCAGAUCAUGUGUAGUAUCUGUUCUUAUUAGCUUAAUCGCUAAUAUGGUCCUCAUUGAGGACCUGCGAUUAACUUGAAUAUUUCUCGGGGGCUUGUCAAUGGUGCGCUUGCGCAUCCGACUUGCCAGCAUGGUUGCGGCCUUACACUACCGCUGCAGCCGUGCACCCGCC
This is a small nuclear RNA of Volvox carteri f. nagariensis, 192 nucleotides long. It matches the Rfam family "U2 spliceosomal RNA". Rfam says of the family: U2 is a small nuclear RNA (snRNA) component of the spliceosome (involved in pre-mRNA splicing). Complementary binding between U2 snRNA (in an area lying towards the 5' end but 3' to hairpin I) and the branchpoint sequence (BPS) of the intron results the bulging out of an unpaired adenosine, on the BPS, which initiates a nucleophilic attack at the intronic 5' splice site, thus starting the first of two transesterification reactions that mediate splicing. Lineage: Eukaryota; Viridiplantae; Chlorophyta; Chlorophyceae; Chlamydomonadales; Volvocaceae. The record is from Rfam.